This 251-nucleotide ribosomal RNA is filed under the name uncultured prokaryote. RNAcentral describes it as "partial 16S rRNA". It matches the Rfam family "Bacterial small subunit ribosomal RNA", at positions 525 to 775 of the family's 1533-position model. The record is from RNAcentral.
ACGGAGGAUGCAAGCGUUAUCCGGAAUUAUUGGGUUUAAAGGGUGCGCAGGCGGCUUUACAAGUCAGGGGUGAAAGUCUGGCUCUUAACGUGAGGAUUGCCUUUGAUACUGUCGGGCUUGAGUAUAGGAGAGGUAAGUGGAAUUUGCGGUGUAGCGGUGAAAUGCGUAGAGAUCGGGAGGAACACCAGUGGCGAAGGCGACUUACUGGACUGUAACUGACGCUGAGGCGCGAAAGUGUGGGGAGCAAACAG